Molecule: ribosomal RNA, 462 nt
Filed under: uncultured bacterium
Lineage: Bacteria
Description: partial 16S ribosomal RNA
Rfam family: Bacterial small subunit ribosomal RNA
Source: RNAcentral
GACGAACGCUGGCGGCGUGCUUAACACAUGCAAGUCGAGCGGUAAGGCCUUUCGGGGUACACGAGCGGCGAACGGGUGAGUAACACGUGGGUGAUCUGCCCUGCACUUCGGGAUAAGCCUGGGAAACUGGGUCUAAUACCGGAUAUGACCUCCUAUCGCAUGGUGGGUGGUGGAAAGAUUUAUCGGUGCAGGAUGGGCCCGCGGCCUAUCAGCUUGUUGGUGGGGUAAUGGCCUACCAAGGCGACGACGGGUAGCCGACCUGAGAGGGUGACCGGCCACACUGGGACUGAGACACGGCCCAGACUCCUACGGGAGGCAGCAGUGGGGAAUAUUGCCCAAUGGGCGAAAGCCUGAUGCAGCGACGCCGCGUGAGGGAUGACGGCCUUCGGGUUGUAAACCUCUUUCAGCAGGGACGAAGCGCAAGUGACGGUACCUGCAGAAGAAGCACCGGCUAACUACGUG